This 253-nucleotide ribosomal RNA is filed under the name uncultured bacterium. RNAcentral's name for it is "partial 16S ribosomal RNA". It matches the Rfam family "Bacterial small subunit ribosomal RNA", at positions 524 to 776 of the family's 1533-position model. The record is from RNAcentral.
UACGUAUGGUGCAAGCGUUAUCCGGAUUUACUGGGUGUAAAGGGAGCGUAGACGGCGAUGCAAGUCUGAAGUGAAAGCCCGGGGCUCAACCCUGGAACUGCUUUGGAAACUGUGUUGCUAGAGUGCAGGAGAGGUAAGUGGAAUUCCUAGUGUAGCGGUGAAAUGCGUAGAUAUUAGGAGGAACACCAGUGGCGAAGGCGGCUUACUGGACUGUAACUGACGUUGAGGCUCGAAAGCGUGGGGAGCAAACAGG